This is a non-coding RNA of Nicotiana tabacum (common tobacco), 498 nucleotides long. Lineage: Eukaryota; Viridiplantae; Streptophyta; Magnoliopsida; Solanales; Solanaceae. The record is from RefSeq and is a predicted model, not a curated record.
UGUGCUCAACAUUAACACCAUUAUCUAUGGCUUAUAUCAUCUGUUCACGGAGCCGAAUCACGAGGAUCCCCUCAAUCAUGACGCAGCUGCUGUAUUAAGAGACAACCCAAAGUUGUUCGAGUCCAACGUUAGAAGGGCAAUGCAUGGAGGCUAUGUUGGGCAAACGUUCUUUCCUCGCUGUAUGUAACGUCUUUGCUUCUGAAUCAACUGAUUGAAGAAGCUGAUGGUGGAAGUUUGAGGACUCUGGGACUCUGUAAAGUUUGGGUGCAAAAUCAUUUCAGGUGGUCUUUCUGCAACAGAAUAUGGGUUCAAAUGUCUUAAAAUAUAUGUAACUCGGACCAGAAAAAAAUUCUGUAUGCCAAGUGUAAACUUUGCAAUUUGUUUUUGGACAAGUUUAUUGCGUUAGACCAAUGGUGUAGACCUAUGUUUUGGAUUAACUUGUGUACAAUCUGAAAUUUUUAUUCUAUGGGAGAUUCAAGCAUGAUAAUUAUCUUAUUA